Molecule: long non-coding RNA, 430 nt
Organism: Erinaceus europaeus (western European hedgehog)
Lineage: Eukaryota; Metazoa; Chordata; Mammalia; Eulipotyphla; Erinaceidae
Exons: 2
Source: RefSeq, a predicted model, not a curated record
GAAGGAAGUCAGGGAGAUUGUGUGGAGCCUCAGAAGUCUGAAGAAAAUGACUUCACCUGUGUGUGCACUGUAGAGAGAGAAAUCUGAUGGGCAGAAUGAAAAGAAGAAGAAAGGACGACAGAGGACAUAGCUAACACAAGUCAGGUUACCACGGAGACAGAAAGCAAGAUGGCAGAGACCAUGGGACUGAAUCCAAGGCUGCAGUGUCCUACUUGCCGUAGGCUGCCUCCCCGGGACCUGCGCUUGUGGGAGUUAUCAGCACUGGCCAGAUAAUAACUGACCACCCAUCACCAACAGCGGGGUGAGGAGAACUGUCUCAGAGGACAAGAAAAACCCAGCAGCACUUGGCUUUGAGAUGUUUUGUUUCUCUUCCAACUCCUUCCCCUGUACUUGGUCAUACUAUAUACUAAUAAAUUUCUUCUUAAUUCUU